AGGAUGAACGCUGGCGGCGUGCCUAAUACAUGCAAGUCGAGCGGUAAGGCCACUUCGGUGGUACACGAGCGGCGGACGGCUGAGUAACACGUAGGAACGUACCCCAAAGUGAGGCAUAAGCACCAGAAAUGGUGUCUAAUACCGCAUGUGGCCUAACAGGCUAAAGCUCCGGCGCUUUGGGAACGGCCUGCGCAUGAUUAGCUUGUUGGUGAGGUAAAAGCUCACCAAGGCAGUGAUCAUUAGCUGGUCUGAGAGGAUGACCAGCCAGACUGGGACUGAGAACGGCCCAGACUCCUACGGGAGGCAGCAGUAGGGAAUUUUCCACAAUGGGCGCAAGCCUGAUGCAGCGACGCCGCGUGGGGAUGAAGGCCUUCGGGUUGUAAACCCCUUUCACCAGGAGCGAAUUCAGACGGUACCGUGGGGAAGAAGCGCCGGCUAACUACGUGCCAGCAGCCGC
Molecule: ribosomal RNA, 457 nt
Filed under: uncultured bacterium
Lineage: Bacteria
Description: SSU rRNA
Rfam family: Bacterial small subunit ribosomal RNA
Source: RNAcentral